RNAcentral lists this long non-coding RNA (1260 nucleotides) under Homo sapiens (human). RNAcentral describes it as "HSALNT0270032". The record is from RNAcentral. Lineage: Eukaryota; Metazoa; Chordata; Mammalia; Primates; Hominidae.
UUUCUAUGGUUCUGCAAUUCCCUGAGGGUGCUCAGCAGUUAAGAGCAGGCGGAAGAGCUGCAUCAAUCUGAGUCUGUUAGGGUAAAAUUACCCUAAAUCACUCCUUGAUAUCAAUUCCCCACAAGUAGGAAAAGUCCAAAUACAGAAGUCCUUGCUCUGGAGAGCUACAUACAGCAAAGCAGAGUGGUGGAGUUAAGAGCUCUGAGCUCAAGACAAGGAGCUGAGAUUCGAAUCCUGGCCUUGCUGGUUAGAACUUCUGUCACUGUGGGUAGAAUAUUUCUUCCCUCAAAGCCUCAGCUUCCUCAUUUGUAAUACAGGGCUGUAAGUACUCACCUUGAACAACAUUUAUGAAUGUUAAAAAUGAUAAAUAUGCCAAAUAUCCAGCAUAACCUCUGAUUCAUAUUAAACACUCAAGAAAUGAUUGUUGUUCUUGCUGGUUUUCAUAUGAGCAGAGUAGUCAGGCGCCUUGACGUGGAACCCAGACAGUCAGGGACUGGAUCAAAACCCCUUUAUUUAUCAAGUAUGUGACUUAACUUACCUGAACCACACAAGUCAUUGGAAAAUGAGGACAAUAAUACCUACGGAAUGUCCUUAGGGUUGAAGAGGCAGUGUUUGUAAACGCUUAGAACAGGACUGGCCCAUAGCAAGUGUCAUGCACAUGUGAGCUAUUGCUGUUUGUAGUAAUGCUAUCAAAACCUUCAUCAUACUGUCAUUAUGAUCUUUAUCAUCACCAUGUAGGGUGACCAACAGUCCUGGUUUGCUCUAAACUCUCCUGGUUUUAGCACCAAGUCUCGGAUCCUGGGAAACUCCUAAGUUCUGGAAAAAAACACAACAGAGUCGAGCUCUCCCUUGGACUAUGAGUCAACAGUCUGCCAGCAUUGGUGUUAACGGCCCACUCUCAUAAGCCAGACUAGGUCAUUACAGUCAUCACAGAGUUUAUGCGACCAGGCCAGCACCCAUUCCACCCCCCAACACAUUGGAAGGUAAAGUUUCAUUCCUUUCUCAAUAAUUUCCAGGGAACUGGUCAUUCUAAGCAACUGGAAGAAAAACAUUUCUACAACAAAGAAGCAUUUGAGCGUGAAAAACCUUUUGAGUCCCAGUUUCCGCUCUGCCUUGGAAGCACCGUGAUUUGGAGGGGGCCCAACAGCUGUGAGUUUCACUCUCACAAACCAAUCAUUUCUAAAUAGAGCAAUACCACAAUCUUAAUUUUCCACUCAAUGGUGAAAGCAGUCACAUUAUUCAAAAUUAUUCAUCAGCACU